CAAAGUCUUGGUCCUGAACCUAACAUUACCUGUGAUCUUACCUAUACAUGCAAGCCUCCACACAACGGUGAGAAAGCCCACAUCAACCCACAGACAGGAGCAGGCAUCAGGCUAAAACAAACCACUUACCCACAACGCCAAGCACUUGCCACACCCCCACGGGCCUACAGCAGUAACUAAUAUUGGGCCAUAAGUGCAAACUUGACCCAGUAAAGAUCAUAUAGAGCCGGUUAAUCUCGUGCCAGCGACCGCGGUUACACGACAGACUCAAGAUAAUGUCAAACGGCGUAAAGCACGGCUAGAACAAAGUACUACCCCUUAAGGACAAAGCAAAACCAGGCUGUAGAACGCCCUAAGUUAAACUAAAACCAACCCCUUAAGAAAACAACCUUUUCAACCCGUGAAAGCUAGGAUACAAACUAGGAUUAGAUACCCUACUAUGCCUAACCAUAACACGGCAACACUAUAGUUGCUCGCCAAACCACUACGAGUGAAAACUUAAAACUUAAAGGACUUGACGGUACUUCACCCAACCUAGAGGAGCCUGUCUAAUAACCGAUAACCCACGAUUAAUCCAACCACUUCUAGCCACCCAGUCUAUAUACCGCCGUCGCCAGCUCACCUUGCAAAAGAAACAAAGUGAACCAAAUAGUCAUACACUAACACGACAGGUCGAGGUGUAACUAAUGAAGUGGACUAUGAUGGGCUACAUUUUCUAAUACAGACCAUACGAAUAAAGACAUGAAACUUUCUUUUGAAGGUGGAUUUAGCAGUAAGAUGAGAACACAAUACUCAACUGAAACCAUUGCAAUGAAGUGCGUACACACCGCCCGUCAUCCCUGUCACCAAAAAGCAAAUCAACAUAUAAAAUACUUACAACAACAAAACAGGGCAAGUCGUAACAUGGUAAGCGUACUGGAAAGUGCGCUUAGAAACA
This 937-nucleotide non-coding RNA is filed under the name Python bivittatus (Burmese python). Lineage: Eukaryota; Metazoa; Chordata; Lepidosauria; Squamata; Pythonidae. The record is from RNAcentral.